UAAUGUAGUAUGUCUUGGUGUGGAUAUCUUGGGGUUCAUCUUACUGAAGAUUGGGCUUCCUGAAUCUGAAUGUCUUUUUAUCUCCUCAGGUUAGGGAAAUUGUUAGCUGUCUAUUACAUGAAAUAAGUUUUGUACCCAUUUCUCUGUCCAUCCUCUGCUACUCAAAAAUUAUUUUCCCCUUGAUGUCACAUAGAUCUUUUAAGCUAUUUUCACUUUUUAAAAUUACUUUUUCCUUUUGCUGCUCUGUUUGGGUGAGUUCCACUGCCUUUUCUUCUAGGUCACUGAUUGUUCUAUGUAGUCUACUGUUGAACUCCUUUAGUUCAGUACUUGUGUUAUUCAGCUCUGUGACUUCUGUUUGAUACUUAGAGUCAAUCUUUGCUGAUGUCUCUGUUUAUCCAUGCUUCUCUUGAGAUUGGUGAGCAUCUUUAUGGUCAUUACUUUGAAUUCUUCAGGUAAAUUACUCUUCAUCAAGUAAAUUACUUUAUCGUCAUUUGGUUAUGUGGCACUUGCUCCCCUGCCCCUCUAUGUUUGGUGGUUUCUUCAUUGUGCUUGACUCUGUGUUUGUGUCUGUGUAUUAGGUGAAACACCUACUUCUGCAAGUCUUGAAGGGGUGGUCAUAGGAAAUGCUGGGGAUGUGUAUCCGUCUCCUGUCAAUGCAGUGCUUUGGGGGUGGUAACCUGCCAGGAACUGUUAUGGAUAGUUUGAUCCUGUGGGGCACAGAAUCCUAAGCCCUAUACACUUGAUCUUUUCUUCCCCUUAAUUAUCAGUUGAAUAGCUUAUUUAAUAGUCUUGUAUUUAUUUGUUAGUGCCACUAUUUUUGUUACUACUGUUUUUAUACCUACCAAUAUUUCUGCUUUCCUUAUUUUAUUCUUCCUAUUUGAACUGCAGUUAAGCAUUAUAUUUCUAGAGCUGCACUGCUUAAAGCUAGGAUUUUUUUCUGAGCACUUACUGUGGAUGCUCAUACAUAAUGUUCUAUAUUUUUGUUUUCUAGAUAUUUUGGGAUCUUGAUUUUUCUCUGGUCAUAAAAAUCACAGGUUUAAAAAUUUUUGUGAUGUAUAAUCAGAAUGUGGUCAUGUGGUCUGCACUAUACCUGUUUCUUGGAAUUCUAGGUCCUUUUUAUAACCUACCAUAUGAUCAGGUUUUGUAAAUAGGCACUUCAAAGUUCUCUGUUUUCAAGUUACAUAAUUAGAAAUCUAUCAAUUGGAUUUCCUUAAGAAAUGGUAGUAGGCUUCUCCUAUUGUUUUUUUUUUUUUUUUUAACCUGUUUGACUUGCCAUGUCCUAAAACUCAGGGUUGCUUUUAUUUAUUGUAUUAAGCACUUGAGAGACCAUCCAAAAGAUGUAGAUUCUCCCUUGAAUUUAUUGAGACAAUUUGAUUAAAAACAAAACAAAACAAAACACUGAUGCUAGUAGUAGGAGUUGAAACACUGGAGAGAGCAUUUUGAGCUUGAUAACAAAGCUCAAUGCAGGAGAUGGAUCUUGAAGAGCAAGCAAGAGGUGGGGAGUGUGUAAUGGUGCCUUUUAGGCUUUGCACACCAUGAGCAGAGCUGGGCUUGGGAUGAGCCUGGCAUGUUGGGGAGAAGGCACAUAUCCUUCUAAGGUCUUGGUCUCUAUGAUUUACUGUAGCAGUUGAAUCGGGCAGUGAGUCAUUGGGGACGAGACUUUGCUGUUGAACUGACUUAUGGAUAAGCAUCUUUGUUGGGGCCGUCCCAGCCAUGUUAUCAGUCUACCUUGCAACAACGGAGGACAACAUGAUAAUUUGCUCUUUAGGCUGCCCUAUUGGCAUGCUCUCAGCUUUGCAUCUUCACUGGAGAGCUGAAAUUGGCAUACACCUCAGUUUGAUAGCAUUAGCUUAGUAUUCAAACAUUAAUCAGGGAUACACAGACAUUUCAACUGAAGAAUUACAGUGUCUGAUAUGUACUUGCUAUAUGGAGUUGUUUUGUCAGAUGACCCCAGUAAAUUACCAAGUAUUGAACACUGAUGAUAAAUCAAAUGAUGUAUGGUCUGUAGGAAGUGAAGGUAUUUAAAUAAUUAAGCAGUUCUUUCUAGAGCCUCUUUUAUAUGAUGAUUUUCUAGACUCCAAAUCAGUUUUCUUCAUCCAGCCUCCAUAUAAUAUAUAGUUAUUUCAAAUCAGCUUACUUACUGAGGUUUUUCUAGUAAUGGAGCUUUGUCAGCAAAAACUGUGCAUACCAGCAAAUGGUGAAUGAUGGGCUUGUGUCAGAAAGGAGCUUGAGAGGUGCUUUCUGUUGUUAGAUGGAUGGGUCUGGAGCAUGAGCUUGAAACUCUCCAACUGUAAUAGUUUAAGAGAAAAGGUAUGUCUGAAGUAGGGGUGAGGGCUCCAUCACUCAAAAGCUGGUAUUUUGCACACCCAAGCCAAAUACUGCAUGUGCUAUUGAAAUCAUGCUUUCAUGUUGGGAUGUGUGGGAGAUGCGCCCCUGAACUUAUUUAAUAGAAUCUUGGUUGUGGUUUCAUCUUCCCAGCCCUUAUUGUCUGUUCACUUACCACUGGUCAGGGUAGAAUGGCAGGAAGUGUACUAGCUACUGAAAUUAUAGCAGGUGGGUUUAGCUCUGACCACAACUCUCCAUAAACCAGUGCUAUCCCAUGUGAGUGCUCUAAAUGUUCAAGUGCUAAGUGUCUGUGAGUGGUCCGAACUCUGCUGAUUGGGGCAAGGGCUUGGAGGAGCAGACUUGGUUAGGGUGGCAGUCAUCACUCAAUGGGGAAAUUGAGGACCAAGCAUCAUGAGUGAACUGAUCGACUUGGGACAUGGGGGCAGUCUGAGGGUUUAGGGCACUUUUGCUUUUUUUGGAAUUGUGGUUUUAACAGCAGGUUUGUGCUGAGUUUGGUACAGACUAAUCUCUCUGUUGGCAGAAUGUCAUCAGUUGGUUGAACUCCUUUGCUGCCACACUAGACCUUAAGUGUUCCAAAGGGCCGUUGGGGCAGAAACCGGACUUCUGCAAAAUGGGCUGUCUGAAUUUGGGAGGCUGGGGAUGCUAAACUGUGGAUGCUCUUCCUCUGUUUUAUUUCUGUACUGUGUGUUUCAGUGGAGGUUCUUAGGGGCUAUUCAACAAAGCCUUUGCUGUCAGCUAAAAGGCUUUUAGGACUUCAUAAUCAUGGCACAAUACCUUUUCCUUUUUCUUUUUCUUUUUUUUUUUUUUAAGAACUCUUUCCUUUCCCCAUCUUUUUUCAAAUCGUUAGCCUUCAUGUGAACUGAAAAGGACUUCAAAACAUUGGAAGAAAAUAGUCUGAAAUCUCAGAGUGUACUUGGUUCCUGGUAGGAACGAAGACUUGAUAAAGAGGCAUCUUUUGCACUGACAGGUGUUUGUGUGCCAGUGUGGAGAAGGCUUUUGAUGACAAAGCCACUUAGUUUUCUAUAGCUUACCUUUCCCUUUGUACAGAGGAUUUCAGAAAACUCUAAUAAAGUAACUAAAUAAUGGGGAUAAAAAGUUAGCAUUCGUGUCACCUUCAUUUCUUUUUUGCCCAUUGAUGUUUUGAGACUCACUUUCCAGGCACCGAAAAAGCAAGUGGUGGGCAUGAGAUGGCCAGUGUCUUGCCAUUGUCCCUGUGGUUCUAGGAUCUCCUUCUAUUUGAAGGUCCAGAGUGAGCAGCAAUGCCCUUCCUGAAGCAGCAGAACUGGGGGCUGAGGGGUCUACAGAAAGGAGGGGCUCCCAGGGGAGAUGCUGAAUUGUCACCUGCCUUGUUCCAUGGAUGCAGGGUAAUUUGUUCUAUCAUAAAGGCCUGGAGCCCCCUUAACCCUUGACAUACAGUUUUCUUUACCCUCCUAGAAACCAGCAGAAACUGGCAAACUAUGACUGUAGUCAUGUGUUAACUCCGUUCUCACAUGAAUCUCAGAGGAGUCUUCUCAGAUCUUGUGCUCUUUUCCCAGGAAGAUAAAUCACACAAGUUACAGCCAGAGGAAUAAAUCAUGCUUAUUUGUUACUUAAUGUGGUUCACGAAGAGCAGGGAGGAACCUGCUUAUUUAACUGCCCCAAACAUGGUUGGGACAUCUUAAUUUGCAGCAGUCACCCCAUUGUGGGUAGAACUUUCUAUGCUAAUCCCUUUGGACUUUUGUGGGGGAAAAACCCCAGAAGGAAUCUUACUAGUAGAGGACAAAUAAAAUGAGUGUUGCUGACUACAGUUCUAAGUGGAAAAUAAAGGUGUAGUAGAGAAACUGUCUGUGAAUUGAUGUCCAGUAAUAUCCAUCCAUUGUUUCAUAUGAACAAAAUUGGGCCAAGCCCAGAAAAUGGAUUCAACUCUGGUUUUGGUAGUGAUCUCCAACAAGUUCUUGCAGCUGUAUGUGGAAGCUAUUCCUUUGGAUUUCAGGUUGGUUAUUUGGAGUCAUCACUCUUUAAGACUCUCAUAAGAGAGGACACUAGGCUGUGGGUGCCGCCCACACCUGGGAAUGGUUGACAGGUUUGUGUAAAGCCAGCAUUGGAUGGAUGUGUGAGCUAGUUGGCUAUAGCCUUAUCAGUUUUCAGAGGAGGAGCAUAAGUCACUGAGUCUGUGCUCCUUGGCUCCUCUUACCAAGCCUUGUUACCACCAAGAAGCAUUAGUUUGGGGGUUUGUGUUUUGUUUCUGAGGGGGGCCUUAGGGCUAGAACUAGACCAUGGAAAAUGGUCCUAGGGGGUGGGAAACCCAGGAGUACUGUGUUAACUAGAAAUGCUACAAGCUUAUCUGAUGACUUAAUGAUACUAUGUAGGCAAGUAUAAUAGAUAAGAAUACUGGCAACCUUGAUUUUUGUUCUGUGCCAGGGACUGGUGCUUAGUACUUUGUAUAUGCUCUUAUUAAACUCUUAGAGCAACCUAAUGGGAUAUUAAUAGAAGCAGUAGUGGUAAAUAGUUAUUAUAGCAAUUACUGUGUCUGCUUUAUGUGGAUUGUCUUGAGUCUCACAAUAAUCCUAUGAGCAAGGUAUUAUUAUCUUUCCCAUUUUCUAGAUGAGGAAACAGGAUCAGAGCGGUUACUGUAAGUUUGCCCAAAGAGGCGGAAUAUGAAUCAGUCAUCUGAUGCUGAAGACUGUGCAUAUAUCAGCCAUGAUUUUCCCACCCUUUCUGAUCACAUAUGGUUAGCUAAACAGAAGCAUUUUCUAAUGGGUGGUUAAUGAAUAAUAGGUUGUAAUGAUUAAGUGAGAAGUGUUUUGGCCAAGGAGAUGCAUGCUUGUGUAUGUGCAUGUAUGAUACAUACAGUGAACUUCUGAUAUUCUAUUUUGGGAAUUACCCUCUGACUGUGAAUGCCAGAAUAUCCUCUUUUUUUUUUACCCAGAACAUUUACACUCUUGCCUAGCUGUUGGGGUUGAGGAAUAGAAACUCAUUUAAAAGUAAUUUUAAGUAGAAUUUCUUUAGGGAGAUGAAAAUAAACCCGCAGUUGUAGAACAUUACAACUGAAAGAGCAUCUGGAAACAAGUAAGUCAUUUUGUUUUAGAGAGGAGGCUCAGGGCCUCCAGGGGAGUGUUCAUUGGCUCAAGGCCUCUGAUCUACUAGUGCUAGAUUUGGUACUAGAUGUUGGGAUGCCUGUCUCUUGGUUGAGUGUUCUCUCUCCUGUAUGACCUAACCACUCCAUGGAAUAAACUUUGAAGCCCCAAAGACAAAACAAAGGAAAAAAACUCUGAAACCAAAAAGAAACGGUGUUGUGAUGAUCUGUUUUUGAAAUUAUGGGUAUCGCUAAUUCUCCAAUGGUGUGGCUAAUUUGUAGUUGAGUGUCAUGGUAUUUUAGAUUCUUCGGGGUUGAGGUCACAUUGGCUAUAUGGAAGCAACCGCUCCCAUCUGAUUCCUUGCAUCAGGAGCACAAUAAUACAUUUCCCUCUAACACGGAGAAUAUUUUCAUUGGCCUAAUGGACCAAGAUAGUUGAGGAAUUAAAUUGACCUCCACUCCCCUCUACCUCAUGUCACCAGGAGGGAAAGAGUCAACAUUAUUCAUGGAAAUGCAUUUUCUUUGAAGUCAGAAUUUACUUUUUUAAAGGAAUGUUCUUUCCUGACUUGGAAGAAUUCUUAUUUGGGCACAAGCAUUUUAUUGUGUAGCUUUGUGCAUUAUCGCAUUGAGUGUGUUGCUAUUGCUCCCACCAACUGUUUUCUAAGACAUUUUGAGGCUGUGCUUGAUAUUGUAAGGAAAGUAUUUGUCACUCGGACUCUCAGAAUUGAAUUUGCUUGAAUUAAUUAUGAUUUCCACUCCGUCCCCCUGGGCAGUAUUAUGGGGGAGAGGUAAUCCUUUCUGAUGUCGUAUAGAAAAUCAAUUCUGGCCCAUGGCACUGGCUAGUUGGUUGAGUGGGGGAACUUGUCACCCACUGUAUGGUCUUUAUUUUCCAUUUUCCUUGGCCCUUUAUGUGUGUGUAUUUCCCUGGGCUGGUUUAAGAAGCUGCCAGGGCUAGGGUGCUGUGCUUGAAGUGAUGAACAAGGAUACUCUCCCCAUAAAGAAAACCACAAGGGCCCCAAGAUGGGUAAUAAAAGGCCUUGUCCAUUGCCUUUCUUGUGGAGUCUGCGUUGUUUUGAGUGUUUUCCACUGAGAAACACUCUCUGCCUUUGGUCUAGGUGGUAAGACAAGUUGAAAGGUACUGGGUCAUAUGUAGGGAUUUGGUCUUAACUGGUUUGGGAGUUUUUUUGUUUUAUUAUUCCUGGCAGACUCCCCGCCCCCUCCCAACCCCUGCGUCCUUAGAAUGCUUUUCUCCUUACUUUUAAGAUAUUAGAGUCCUUCUCCUUGUUUUAAAAAUACACCAUAAACAAACUUAGGAGGCCCAAACAACUGAUGGUAAAUAUUUGAACAAAAUAUGACAAGCAUAUGAUAGAUAUCCUUACUACAUAAAUAGCUGCUACAAAAAAUAACCACCAAACACCCUGUUGUACAUCCAUUAGAAAGGAAAUAAGUUUUAAAUGCCUUGGGAGCAUACUCUCAAGAUAAAGCUGAGCAAAAUAGCAGGACACGGAACUGAACACAGAUGUAAAUGUUAAUCUGCAUGCACUCAAAGGGCUGAAACUUCCCUUUUUUUCUUACUCAUGUGUCAGGAAAGCCUUACAAGUAGUUUCUACCUUGGCAUGUGACCGUGGUGCCUUAGCUUUGCUAUUCCAGCCAACUGACCCUUUUGCUGAAAGUUUAAUAAGGGAUAAAUUCACAUGUGAAUUCAUAAUCCCCUUAUCUGUGCUAAGAGCAUUCUGUAAUGAGCCUGCAACAAAGAGAAUCUUACAUCUUGCCAUUUUGCUCUGAAACCACCUCUUGGCCUCCUUCCUACCUUCCCUAUGCUUCCUGGUUGGACAUGUUAGGCAUCUGCCCAUUGCAGAGUCAUCACCUGCUUGCAGUAUGUUAAGUGAUGUUAUAAAUCAGUGGACUCAAAUUUCCUACCAGUCACAUUGAGGCAUUUAAGGAAGUAUGGCAUGUGUGAGUGGGGAAUAUAUUUGAGCUUAUUAGAGAAGCAAACAAGGACUUGUUCUCUUCUAGUAUUUAUUAAUUUUGAGACUUACUCUUUUAUGUAGUGUGACUUUGACUGUAAAUCCAAAAGCAAAGUCACAGGCUACAGUUUUAAGUUUUGAAGAUUUAUUGUUAAAAUUUGCUCUCUCCCUAAUGCUUUUAUUAUUUACUCUUCUCUUCCCUGUCCAUGGUGUGGGUUACAGUUAAUGUUAUCUACAUAUGUCUAUAAAUACUGAAAAUAUUUUUGAUACAAUGUGCAUUUAAUCAACUUUUUGUUACUGUUACGCCGUUUGUGUGGAAGAAAAUUGUUUCUGUCUUAAUGUUCUAUUGAAGUGCCUUUGGAGUGAUGAUAUCAUAAUCACUUUAAUACAUUUAAAAGCUUCAAGGCUUAGCAUUUAUUGAACAAAGCUCAUUGAAGGAAUAUAACGGAUGUCUUGAGGCUUUCCGCUGCUGUAAAAAGGACAGUAUUGUUCAUGGCCUCGGUAAAAGAAAAUCUGAAUUUUUAUUUUACUUUGCACCACGUUGAAAUUAUAUCUCAAAAGCUCUUCAAGUGCAACUAACAAAGGGGCUGUUUUUAUGAAUUGUUGUAAUUGCAGAUCUCAGGGCUGACUGCUGUGAGUUUAACAUUAAUAAUGGACAGCAGUUUAAAACUUUAUCACCAAAAUCCAACCUCACAUCCUAAAAGAUAGCAUUCCCUUCCCAUUUGGAUGUCCUUGGAGAAGGAGUCCUCCACAGCUGGGAAGUGAGUAGAAAACUUUAUUCUCCAGAAUCUCAGAAUUCCUGGCCCUUGGGGAUCUCUCUGAAGAAGCCUUGUGAGUGAAGGGAGGACUGAGGAUUGUGGAGUUCUGAGGUUGGGAUGUGGGUGUGUGUGUGUGUUUAGCCCAUGAAAUCAGAAUGGGGAUAUGGCAGGUGGGAUGUCAAGGGAGCCCCUGAGAAUCCUUGUGGAUUGGAUGGAGGGGUGUUCUCUCAGGAUUCCUGGACUGACAAGACAGCCAAGGUGGGCAUGCUCUGAAGCCACUCCUCUAAAGAGAUUGUUGAAGAAGCUCCCACUGCUGGAGAUGAAAUGGAAAAUAUUCAGUCCUUUCUCCUGGGUAGAGGUGGUGAAGUCAUGUCCUUGGGAACUGGCUUAGACCUUUAGCUUCCACUUGGAUGCUAUUGGGUAACUUGCUGCUUGACUUGGAAUAACAUGUGGUAAAACAUCCCCAUGGGUGCAGGUCUCCUCUCAGAAAUUUGAGUAUCAUGCAGUCCUAACUUGGGAGAAGAGUACCUGGAAAGACCAGUCACCAUUUCCUAUUUCUUAUUCCCUGGUGCCUCAUUAUGUUGCUUCUGGUCUUGAGACUGCCUGCCUGACUUAUUUGAAAUUCACAUGUUUAAAGCCUACAUGUUUCCCUUUAGACUUUUCUUAAGGGAAAGUAAGCAUGUUAGAGUUCACUUGCUAUGAGGUGGGGCUUCUGAGGCCUAAUUAAUUAUGAACUCACAUGUGUCUUACCCUCUCCUAUCAGGUACAGUGCCCUGAACAGGUGACUGUGCUUGAAAUGAUGGAUUUGAUUUAGUGGUUUGAAGAGGAUGGGCUUUGACUUGUGGCCUUUCCCAAGUGAAGAGCUGCGGGAGCUGCUACUUCUAAUAUUGAACCCUUUCUCAUCUGGGUGGUAGCGGCUAGAGACCAGAGCUGUGAUUAGGGUGUGGUACUUUGACCACCAGUUGUCAGAAACCACUUCUUACAGAUUUAUCCAGCCAUCUGUAUCAGUUAGGAGUAGGUUCAGUUGCAUAGGGUAGAUAAUCAUAAUUACCUGCAUAUUACCUAAGGUUCACAUUCAUUUCUCUCUUGAGGUCUAGAGGUUGACAACCUAGGGCUGAUAUGGUAGCUUCAUGGUAUGAACAGGGGUCCAGGCUACUUCCAUAUUUCCACUCUGCUGUCUCAAGCAUUUCUUGGACUGAACCUCAUAGUUGAAGAUGGACAUCGUUCAGGGGCAACUGGGUGGCUCAGUUGGUUAAACAUUUGACUCUUGAUUUUGGCUCGGGUCAUGAUCUCCCAGGUGGUGAGAUUGAGCCCUACGUUGGGCUCUGUGCUGACAGUGUGGCGCCUCCUUGGGAUUCUCUCUGCCGGCCCCUCCCCCCACCUCUCGUGCGCGGGUGCUCUCUCACACACUCUCUCUGCCCCUCCCUGUGUAUGUGUUCUCCCUCUCUCAAAAAAAUUUAAAGAUGGACACAGUCGAGACAUCAUAUCCACAUACCAGACUGGCAGCAGGAAGAAAGGCAAAGGGCAUUCCCUCCUUCCUCUUAAGAACUUUUUAAGAAGUUUCAUGCAGCAAUCUGUAUGUAAGUCCACACCUAGCUGCAAGGGAGGCAGAGAACUGCAGUCUUUAAACUGGGUGACAGUGGGCCCUGGCAAAACUUGAGGGGUCCUGUUCCUGAGGGAGAAGGGAGACUGGAUAUUGGAUAGGCCACCUGUAAACUGCCAUACUAGGUAUCAGUUCAUUCAUCUGUCUCUACCCCCUUUCCUUCCCCCGAGUGCGCUCACUUUACCAUCCUGUCCACUGUAGUUGGAAUGCCCCCUCCCUAGUUCUAUACAUGCUCCAGACUGGACUUUUACUACCACUUUUCCUUUCCAAGGUAGCUUUUGAUGGUUUUAACCUACUUUUACUGACAUUAAGAUAACAGGGAUGGAGGAAGCCUUGAGUGCCGAGUUUUUAUUUUUCUCCUAACAUUUUUAUUCAGUGGAAACAUCAAGGCUUGCCUUAAAGAAGGAAAGGUGACCAGAGAGUUGCCAGAGUGGUUCCUGAAAGUGUCUGAACUUUUUGCCCUUCCUGGGUUCACAGUUGGCAUUCUUGUCCACACCUGUAGGCACCUGGGCCAGAGGGCAACCCCCUUGAAGUCCAGAGUCCUAUGGCUUGUGGCAUGAAGUGCUCUCUACUCCACCAAAAUCCCCAGAAUAUGGAAGUCCAGUCCAGUGUCAUACAUGCUCCUUCCCAUGAACAGACACUUAACAAAUUUUUCCAACAGAAGAUAAAGGUGAUGCCUCUCGGUAAGUUGGCUCUGUUUAGUCUCAGCUGUUGCAAACUCAGAUGGUGAUGUUUAUGGUAGUCCCCAAGUCCUUGGGAAGACCGCCCCCUCCACUGAGAACAAAGGUACUUUGAGAUGGGAUGAUGCUGUAGAUGGCAGUGCUGUGUCCCUUCUUACACUCCAGUCCAUCCAUUCUUCAUCCUUCAGCAGCAGUGGAAUUUUCCAGACUAGGAAUUGGGAUAUGUAAUAUGAUGAGUUAUGCCACCCCUGAAGACAAAGGGCGGUCUGGGUGAUAGGUUUUGCAUUCUGCAAUGCUCGCAUUUCUGGAUAAUGUUGACAGCUUUAAAGUCUAUGGGACAGUGUAUUUAAAAUAGACAAUUUAACCAAGUUCUAGGAGCUAUGAUCUUGCUUCAAGAAGCUUUGAAGAGAUUUGACUUCGGAACCCUGGGAGAUCUGGGUUCAAAAUCUCUUGCUGUGUGGCUUUUGGGGGAUAACUUUAGGCCCAGUUUUCUUAAAUACCAAACAGCCCUAAUGAGAUGUAACUCCAGAGAAUGAAAUUAGAACCAUAUGUAAAGUGCCUGGCACAUAGUAGGUCCUUAAUAAAAGUUAAUUUCUUGUUUAUGCAAUUCACUCAUCCAAGUGCUUAGUAAAAAUAUUUAUUUCAUGAUCAAAAGCUUUUUAAAAAAUUGAGCAUUGUAUGUAACAAUUGAAUAUAUCACAUUGAAUAACCCUAAUCUUACUGUAUGUGGCUGAAGAUGUUCAUGGGCAUAGGCUGUCACAUGACUACUUUCAAGCAGCCCCCUUUUCCCUUUAAUAAUAUGAGCAUACAAUGAAAACACUCUUUGAUAAAGAAUAACAUAGGUGUACCAAAGAACGGAUGAUUUCUCAACUGAAAGUAUAACCUGCCAUUAGCACACUUUAGGCAGUGCAGUUGAAGAAGGCUUCUAGUUGUGUUUUGUAUCUUCCUGGCUCUCAGACCUCUAUGAAAAUCUGAGAACUAUGGAUCCUCCCUUCAGAGAAAUGCACAUAUACAGGUGCAUGGAAUCUUUCAUAAAACUGCAGUUGAUCUGUGGACCACAUUAUUUCUGAUGUUCUACUCCUGCCUUCCCUCAAGAAUCCUGGAUUAAGAAUCCCUGCGUGAACUAUUGAUUGAUGGUUUUUUUUUUUUUUGACUGUAGAUACUGUUACUAAAUGGGGAAGAGAAGGAAAUGGUGAGGCCACACCUAGCAUGAGAAGCAAGUAGUUGAGAUAAUGCCUGAAAGAUAAAUACUCUGUUGCACAUCAUUGUAGCAUUCAUGAUUCCAAGGUCUACAAGAAGUUAAGAAUGGGAAGAGUCAAGUUUGUUUUUCUCACUCUAACUUUUUAUUAUGAAAAAUUUCAGGGGUCUGGGUGGCUCAGUCAGUUAAGACACAUUGCGGGUUUGAGCCCCACGACUGGCUCUCUGCUGACAGCUCGGAGCCUGGAGCUGGCUUCAGAUUCUGUGUCUCCCUCUAUUUCUGUCCCUCCCCAACUCAUGUUCUCUCUCUCAAAAAUAAACAUUUAAAAAAAAUGAUAAAAAUUUUCAGUGGUACGGAGAAGUUGAAAGAAUUGUAUGGUGAACACACAUACACCUGACAUCAAAGUAGCAUCCAGGUUCUUCAUUACCAUUUUACUAUACUCACUUUAUUCUACCUCCAUCCAUCCAUCAGUCCAUCUUUCUUUUUGGUGCAUUUCAAUGUAAGUUGCAGAUAUCAAUACCCCUCACCCUAAACAUUCAGCAGCAUAUCAUUUACUAGAGUUCAGUAUUAGUUUAUUUUUUUCUUUUGAGAAAUGGACUAGCUCUAAGUGUACCAUUUCUGAGUUUUGAUAAAUGGAUGCAUCUAUGCAAUCCAAACUCCUAUCAAAAUGUAAAACUUGUACCAAAAAAGUGUCCUGAUUCCCCUUCCUAGUUACUCCCUGAUUCUUCUCCACAGGUAAUCACUCUUCUGAUAUUUUUGCCAUAGUUUGAUGGGACUAUUUUAAGACUUGAUAUAAUUGGAAUCCUAUAGUAUGUUUUUUUGUGAAUCGUUCAUUAGCACCAUGUGUCUGAGAUUCACCCAUGUUGUAUAUACCAGUAGUUUCUUCUUGAGUGGUCUUCCAAUGUAUGCGUAGACUGUAGUUUGUCCAUUCCUUUGAAAAUCAGAGCUGUUCUCAGGUUUGAGCUAACAAGCUGCUAUGGACAUUUGCAUAUAAGCCUUUAUGUAUGUGUAUAUUUUAAUUUUUCUUAAGUAUGUGGGGUGGAAUUUUGAGGCUUUAGGAUAGGUGUAAGUUUAAUGUUAAAGGAAGAAAUUGCCAGACCUUUUACUGAAGUGGUUGUUGCAUUUUCACUUCUACCAACAGUGUAUGUGAGUUGUAGUUGCUCUGCAUCCUUGCCAGCAUUUGGUAUUAUCAGUCUUUUUGGUUAUAGCCCCUCUGGUUUGUGUAUAGUGAUAGCUCACUGUGGUUUUCGUUUGCUUAUGGCCUGGGGCUCCAAAACGGCCUUUCCCUGGGCUCCUGAAUCCCCCUUGAUCUCAGAGACCUUAUCUAUUCUUAGGGGGUGUGUGGGAAUAGCUAGUGAAAAUCUUAUGGGGCCAUAAAAUUUCCUGCAGGGUUUUAAACCCCCUUAAAGUUCUGCAUGGCACAGAAUGUGCAUGUCUGUGGACAGCCACAGUCACUUCAUGAUGAUAUGGCUGCAGGAAGGACACUGGGAGCAGUAAGGCAAGGUGUCCAUCUUCCCAGAUGGAGCCAUGUGCGUGCGCGGAGCUCCUUGACACAGGGAGCUUGGAGAGUCAGCAGCUGGAGCCUUGCAUUCAGCCUCGUGUCACAACAUUAUCAGAGACUUGGGGAAACUGGCCAGAGUUCAGAGAAGAGCAGCUAGCACGAUUAAAGGGCUUGGAGGGAUUAAGGGAUUGAUUUAUGAGGAAAGAUGAAAAGAACUUAAUGUGUGCUGCUUGACUAAGUGGGUACAUGAUAAUAGCCUGCAAACAUCUGAAGGGUAUAAACACCGGAGAGGGAGAGGAAUUAGCAGAGGGUGAGGAAACUGAUCCAGGCAUAAUGGGGGAAAUUAAAUGGGGGAGGGAGGAUGGGGUAAGUUGGCAAAGCAGUGGCAGGGGUGUGACCUUCUUUGAGAAGUCUGAGAGGGGGUUGAGUUAUUAGUUUGGGGAAGAUGAACCCCAGGAAGUGCUGUGGGGUUGCCUCCUAAAGCAGCCAGGUAGAUGGACAUAGUUGGGUGCCUACUGUGUGCUGUAUGAAGCAGGACCAUGUGGGAAAUGGGAACCUGGAGGCUAGAAGGAAGGGAGGUAAUGGAAAUGACCUGGACAGUGAAGUCUAGGCAUUUCCUUAAGUCUCUUCUCCCUGGCAGUUCUGGAUGGAUCAGAGGCACUGACAGUUUGGUUUUGCAGCCAGUUUGCUUGGGAUGAGUAGUUUCUACCCCAUGUGUCUGCCAUCUUCCCCAGUAUUGACCUUGUCCUAAAAUGCAGCUAUCCUUGGCAGGCCAUGGUGUUGGUUUCUCAUUGCCGGUCUGGAUGUGUGGUUGGGAAACAGUGCAUGGACUGCUGAGGAGGAUGGGAAAUGAAACCAACCUGCCUGUGGUCAGACUCUGGCUUCUACUUGCCAGCUGGGUGAGUGGGCCUAGUUUCUGCUCUGUGGACCUCCAUUUCCUUUUCCCGUAAGAUGGAGUUAACAAUGGCAGCUUGCUUCAGAGUUGUGCUGAAGCUGACAUGGAAAAGUGGGUGCAAAGUGCUUAGCAUAGAGCCUGUCAAAAAGUAAAUGCUCGACAAAGGGUGGUUUACUGCUAAUGUAUUUAAACGACUAUCAUGACUAUCAUUAUCCUGGUACUAUGACUCAGGUCUGGAGCCUGCCUGAGUAGUGCCUUUGGCAUGGAGACAGCCCCAUCUAACAUAGCCAAUAGGGAGGUGCUCAUGAUAGGUUAGGAGUGGGAGGGGAUGUUUGCACCCCAAGAGAAGGAGGCCACGGGUAACACCCUGGUCUUCCCUGCAGUAGCAGAGUUUGCAGAGAUGGUCUUUAGUCAGAGCCAAGAUCUGCACACUACAGCAGCAGACUAGGCUGGGAGAAGAAACCUUGCUCAUUCCCAGUGUCCAGCCUGGUGCAAUGGAAAGAUAACCAGGAGUCAGUAAACAUACAUUAACUUCUGCCCAACUUCCAGUUUCCUCAGUGGUUGGGAGGAAAGGGGGGAAAAAAAAACCCAAAAAGGUGAGGGGGAUUAAACUCGUGUUUCUUAAACAUUUUUUUUCCUGCCAAGCAAAAGGCAGGUUAUAUAGGAUUUGAGUAUGUAGAACAAACGGCCCCAAACUGAGCUGCUUCUGAGUGGGGUGGGAGGCUGGAGUCUCCUUUGACUGAUCCUCCAUCUUUUGUGGUAGUCAGGAGGGCACUCAGUGACUUGCUUAGCUCUGUGGAACACUGUAGUCACAUGUAGUUGAGCUCUUUGGGAUGGUUACUGUUCUGGUGACAGCUGAAAUAAAUUGUUGGCUCACGUUUGCUAAAUGCUUUGCAUCUAUUAGCUUCAGAUGAAGACACUGAGGUUGAGAGGUUAAACAAGGAUUCACAGCUGAGAAGUGACAAAUGCUAAGAGUUCUUUCAGCUCUGAAGUAGUCAAAUUCAGUUUCUCCUACAGGUUUUCAACUGAUAUUAGAUAAUCAGUAAAUACUUAGCAAUGUGAGUUGAUCUGUUAGGAUUGAUUUCCCCAACUCCAGAAUGAGGCCAUGCUACCUGCUACUGGUCUCCUGGACGGAUGCUCAGAUCCCUUAGUUGGUUGUAUCUGUUGUAAGAAAUAGACUUUGCCACUGGGGGUGCCAGUUUCAUGACCUCUUUUAAGAACGCACAUCUGGGGGCACCUGGGUGGUUUAGUGGGUUAAGCGUCCACUUCAGCUCAGGUCACGAUCUCACGGUCCGUGAGUUCGAGCCCCGCGUCGGGCUCUGGGCUGAUGGCUCAGAGCCUGGAGCCUGCUUCCGAUUCUGUGUCUCCCUCUCCCUCUGCCCCUCCCCCGUUCAUGCUCUGUCUCUGUCUCAAAAAUAAAUAAAACGUUAAAAAAAAA
Long non-coding RNA from Acinonyx jubatus (cheetah), 15441 nucleotides. RefSeq lists it as uncharacterized. The transcript is spliced from 2 exons. The record is from RefSeq and is a predicted model, not a curated record. Lineage: Eukaryota; Metazoa; Chordata; Mammalia; Carnivora; Felidae.